CAAUGUUUAUUCCACAUUCUGUUCCUGCUUUUACGAUGAGCUUUCAGUCUGUUAACCCAAUAACAGAGCAUGGCUUUCUGAACAGGACCAUUUGGCGUUGUGACCUUGUCACUUUUAUUAAGUUUCAUUCAUUUUGGCCUUUUAGAUUUGUAAACAUUAUCAUGAAAAUAUCUAGAUGGACUGACAAAAAAGGCAAGUCAUUACUGAACGCCAAUCCUUAAUGAAAAGCUCGCAUAAAUGCAUUUAGAACAUGUAGUUUAUAACAUGCAAGUUCCAUUUCCAGGGGUUUACUGACUCAUAUGCACAAACAUGUAAAAGGAAAUGGUUGUUUAAUACAUAACAUGUCACAUUGCAAUGCAUACCACUAAAAUUACUAGUUUAGGAAUGCAGAGUAAAAAGGGGUUAAUGUUUGAAAAUACUCUUUUAUAUUUUAUCUUCAAAAUAGACAAUGCAUCCUGCCAACAUCUCGAUUUCUCAUUGCAUCAGGAUGGGUUUCCACAUCUUUGAUGCUGCUGUAUGAAAUAACUCGGUGCUUUAUAAUGAAUUUCAGGGAAUUGGUCAUAAAAAUUGCAUUGUUCUUCCUGAAUGUGCAUACAUCAACGUCACCUCGCUCCUUAUCAAGGGAGUAACUGAAAACAAAGCUAAGGAUGGAUCUGGUGGUUGAGGACCAAUGGCUUGACUGUCAAGAGUUGCCUGAGGAGCCCAUCAUUAAUACGUCACAAGAGCAUAAAUGCGGGACCAGUAUCCGGUUGCCUUCAACUGUGCGGGAAAGCUCAGCUGCUUCACUUUGAGUAUUAGAGGUAUCUCUAAAGAAGGUUAUGACAACAUUGUGACUUUAAAACACUGAAAUGUGUCAUUCACUGUAGUAAUAAAUAAAUACAUUGUAAUAAGUAUUGGAAUGAAAUAUAAGACAUACAUAUCAUACACACAAAGUCUACCCUGUUUUUAAGAGGUACUUACAGAUGUACAGUGGUCCGUUUUAACAUGACUGACCCUUUCGCCUGAUAUGAAACACUGAGAAGUGAGUAAAGUUUCAAGGUGACGUGUGUAAUGUUCUCUCAACUUGUAGAGUGGUUCUCAAACUGUUGUGUGCGAGUUUAGUCAAUAAAAAGACUUGAAUAAAUAAAAGCACCAACACUGAAUUAACCAACUAACAUAAUGAAUUGACACUCAUUUUAUGCUUAAAUGUUUGUUUUCAAGUGUACCUAAACGUUCGGUCCAAUUUCUUAGCUAGCAAACAGUCGGCUCAUCAGUUUAUUAGCUAAAAGAAAUGAUCAUUCCUAUAAAAAGGAACAAAACAGCCGUAUGGAAAAUUUACUGUUGCUCAUGACAGAAUCGGUGAAAAGGGCAUUGAAUGACCCCGUUGAAUAUGAUUUGGUGGUCUGCUUUUGUUGCUUUACUCUUGAAGUGGUUGACCCAAAAUGUUUAAGAACCACUACCAUAAACACUGCAGUGCUUUUGUUUUGUAGGUUGGGCGUUCCAACAUGUCAACUUCUGAAUUGGUAAAAUUUUUGGGAGGAGUACCUGUUUGGUGAAUAAUGGAAGACAGGGGGCAGUGUUUGGGAUGCAAGUGUUAUUUUGGCCAUCAGAUGUUAAGCAGAAAUUACACACUUCACCUUUAAAUUAGUGUGAAACGUUUGCGAAUGUGUCUUUACCUUGUCAUUUAAAUUUUUACAUACAUAUGCAGCGUCAUCACUGCUUCAUAUAGGAGGGAUUUCUCUCUGGAAGUGUUCGUCCUGAUUGUUUCAUUGUACAUGCAUUCGCUAAACCUUUACAUCAUUGCACAUCUCAUAGAAUUAGCACACAAAUUCAUUUAAAUCAUUAAAUAUAAAACCAAAGCACAAAUUUCCAGUGACAAAGGCAACAGUAUAAAUUUGUACACUACUUAUGUUGCCACAGAGAUCGAGCACAAACUAAGUGCCUCACCAUUAACAACAAGCAUUCCCAGGUCCAGUGCGGGACCACACUGGUUUAAAGAGGUAACAUAUGCGUUAUACAGUACAGUGACAGCAGCAGAGGGUAGAGAUUAGUUGGUUAGUUGAGACGUCAUGGAGUUGCGUAAUAUCCAUAUCAACAUUUUGGCUCAGGUGAGGAGUUUGCAGUCUGAACAACAGAAAAAAGGCCAAUGUGACCAGUAAAGGUGAGUAAAAGGUAGUAUAUGAUCUGAGCAAGUGGGGAUGAUAAUGAAGAACGAGGAAGAGGAGGUCUCCUGCUCCUCUGUGUUCUCAGGAGGAUGCCGGUGAUCCACACCAUCCCUGAGUUCCUAGACAAAUAUCAACCCGUGUAGCAUUGUUAUAAGGUAUAAAGCCUUUGGGAGGUCAGAGAAGUGUGUCAAAGGCUGCAUU
This is a long non-coding RNA of Cyprinus carpio carpio, 2345 nucleotides long. The record is from Ensembl. Lineage: Eukaryota; Metazoa; Chordata; Actinopteri; Cypriniformes; Cyprinidae.